Molecule: long non-coding RNA, 201 nt
Filed under: Mytilus galloprovincialis (Mediterranean mussel)
Lineage: Eukaryota; Metazoa; Mollusca; Bivalvia; Mytilida; Mytilidae
Source: RNAcentral
GUUUAAGUAAAUAGAAAUCAAUGAAAUUUAAACAACAAUGUUAAUGACUACAAAAGGAAGGUUGGUAUUGAUUUUGGGAGUUUAGGUCCCAACAGUUUAGGAAUUAGGGGCCAAAAAGGGACCCAAAUAAGCAUUUUUCUUGGUUUUCGCACCAUAACGUUAGUAUAAGUAAAUAGAAAUCUAUGAUAUUUAAACACAAGG